Molecule: small nucleolar RNA, 105 nt
Organism: Lathyrus oleraceus (garden pea)
Lineage: Eukaryota; Viridiplantae; Streptophyta; Magnoliopsida; Fabales; Fabaceae
Source: RefSeq, a predicted model, not a curated record
AGGCCAUGGUGCGGGCAGACUCUUAAUAGCUCUAUAUCUCUCCCAAGCUUUGAAAAAUGAUUCUCCUUGGUUUUGAGUAAAUCUAGUUAUUUGGUUUCGAAGAAC